UUAAGCGACUAAGCGUACACGGUGGAUGCCCUGGCAGUCAGAGGCGAUGAAGGACGUGCUAAUCUGCGAUAAGCGUCGGUAAGGUGAUAUGAACCGUUAUAACCGGCGAUUUCCGAAUGGGGAAACCCAGUGUGUUUCGACACACUAUCAUUAACUGAAUCCAUAGGUUAAUGAGGCGAACCGGGGGAACUGAAACAUCUAAGUACCCCGAGGAAAAGAAAUCAACCGAGAUUCCCCCAGUAGCGGCGAGCGAACGGGGAGCAGCCCAGAGCCUGAAUCAGUGUGUGUGUUAGUGGAAGCGUCUGGAAAGGCGCGCGAUACAGGGUGACAGCCCCGUACACAAAAAUGCACAUAUUGUGAGCUCGAUGAGUAGGGCGGGACACGUGGUAUCCUGUCUGAAUAUGGGGGGACCAUCCUCCAAGGCUAAAUACUCCUGACUGACCGAUAGUGAACCAGUACCGUGAGGGAAAGGCGAAAAGAACCCCGGCGAGGGGAGUGAAAAAGAACCUGAAACCGUGUACGUACAAGCAGUGGGAGCACGCUUAGGCGUGUGACUGCGUACCUUUUGUAUAAUGGGUCAGCGACUUAUAUUCUGUAGCAAGGUUAACCGAAUAGGGGAGCCGAAGGGAAACCGAGUCUUAACUGGGCGUUAAGUUGCAGGGUAUAGACCCGAAACCCGGUGAUCUAGCCAUGGGCAGGUUGAAGGUUGGGUAACACUAACUGGAGGACCGAACCGACUAAUGUUGAAAAAUUAGCGGAUGACUUGUGGCUGGGGGUGAAAGGCCAAUCAAACCGGGAGAUAGCUGGUUCUCCCCGAAAGCUAUUUAGGUAGCGCCUCGUGAAUUCAUCUCCGGGGGUAGAGCACUGUUUCGGCAAGGGGGUCAUCCCGACUUACCAACCCGAUGCAAACUGCGAAUACCGGAGAAUGUUAUCACGGGAGACACACGGCGGGUGCUAACGUCCGUCGUGAAGAGGGAAACAACCCAGACCGCCAGCUAAGGUCCCAAAGUCAUGGUUAAGUGGGAAACGAUGUGGGAAGGCCCAGACAGCCAGGAUGUUGGCUUAGAAGCAGCCAUCAUUUAAAGAAAGCGUAAUAGCUCACUGGUCGAGUCGGCCUGCGCGGAAGAUGUAACGGGGCUAAACCAUGCACCGAAGCUGCGGCAGCGACACUAUGUGUUGUUGGGUAGGGGAGCGUUCUGUAAGCCUGCGAAGGUGUGCUGUGAGGCAUGCUGGAGGUAUCAGAAGUGCGAAUGCUGACAUAAGUAACGAUAAAGCGGGUGAAAAGCCCGCUCGCCGGAAGACCAAGGGUUCCUGUCCAACGUUAAUCGGGGCAGGGUGAGUCGACCCCUAAGGCGAGGCCGAAAGGCGUAGUCGAUGGGAAACAGGUUAAUAUUCCUGUACUUGGUGUUACUGCGAAGGGGGGACGGAGAAGGCUAUGUUGGCCGGGCGACGGUUGUCCCGGUUUAAGCGUGUAGGCUGGUUUUCCAGGCAAAUCCGGAAAAUCAAGGCUGAGGCGUGAUGACGAGGCACUACGGUGCUGAAGCAACAAAUGCCCUGCUUCCAGGAAAAGCCUCUAAGCAUCAGGUAACAUCAAAUCGUACCCCAAACCGACACAGGUGGUCAGGUAGAGAAUACCAAGGCGCUUGAGAGAACUCGGGUGAAGGAACUAGGCAAAAUGGUGCCGUAACUUCGGGAGAAGGCACGCUGAUAUGUAGGUGAAGUCCCUCGCGGAUGGAGCUGAAAUCAGUCGAAGAUACCAGCUGGCUGCAACUGUUUAUUAAAAACACAGCACUGUGCAAACACGAAAGUGGACGUAUACGGUGUGACGCCUGCCCGGUGCCGGAAGGUUAAUUGAUGGGGUUAGCCGCAAGGCGAAGCUCUUGAUCGAAGCCCCGGUAAACGGCGGCCGUAACUAUAACGGUCCUAAGGUAGCGAAAUUCCUUGUCGGGUAAGUUCCGACCUGCACGAAUGGCGUAAUGAUGGCCAGGCUGUCUCCACCCGAGACUCAGUGAAAUUGAACUCGCUGUGAAGAUGCAGUGUACCCGCGGCAAGACGGAAAGACCCCGUGAACCUUUACUAUAGCUUGACACUGAACAUUGAGCCUUGAUGUGUAGGAUAGGUGGGAGGCUUAGAAGUGUGGACGCCAGUCUGCAUGGAGCCGACCUUGAAAUACCACCCUUUAAUGUUUGAUGUUCUAACGUUGACCCGUAAUCCGGGUUGCGGACAGUGUCUGGUGGGUAGUUUGACUGGGGCGGUCUCCUCCUAAAGAGUAACGGAGGAGCACGAAGGUUGGCUAAUCCUGGUCGGACAUCAGGAGGUUAGUGCAAUGGCAUAAGCCAGCUUGACUGCGAGCGUGACGGCGCGAGCAGGUGCGAAAGCAGGUCAUAGUGAUCCGGUGGUUCUGAAUGGAAGGGCCAUCGCUCAACGGAUAAAAGGUACUCCGGGGAUAACAGGCUGAUACCGCCCAAGAGUUCAUAUCGACGGCGGUGUUUGGCACCUCGAUGUCGGCUCAUCACAUCCUGGGGCUGAAGUAGGUCCCAAGGGUAUGGCUGUUCGCCAUUUAAAGUGGUACGCGAGCUGGGUUUAGAACGUCGUGAGACAGUUCGGUCCCUAUCUGCCGUGGGCGCUGGAGAACUGAGGGGGGCUGCUCCUAGUACGAGAGGACCGGAGUGGACGCAUCACUGGUGUUCGGGUUGUCAUGCCAAUGGCACUGCCCGGUAGCUAAAUGCGGAAGAGAUAAGUGCUGAAAGCAUCUAAGCACGAAACUUGCCCCGAGAUGAGUUCUCCCUGACCCUUUAAGGGUCCUGAAGGAACGUUGAAGACGACGACGUUGAUAGGCCGGGUGUGUAAGCGCAGCGAUGCGUUGAGCUAACCGGUACUAAUGAACCGUGAGGCUUAACCU
Molecule: ribosomal RNA, 2902 nt
Filed under: Escherichia coli
Lineage: Bacteria; Pseudomonadati; Pseudomonadota; Gammaproteobacteria; Enterobacterales; Enterobacteriaceae
Description: 23S ribosomal RNA
Rfam family: Bacterial large subunit ribosomal RNA
Source: RNAcentral